AUCCUUGUGCAUUGGUAUACCCACACCUGUGAAGUUUCAACUGAGGUUGGGUUAUUGCUGAUUGAAAACUACUACCAAUACCCCACUUUCACGACUUGAAGAAGUCGGGAAAGUAAUUUUUGUAGUGGCCUUCUACGAAGGUC
This is a small nuclear RNA of Basidiobolus meristosporus CBS 931.73, 143 nucleotides long. It matches the Rfam family "U4 spliceosomal RNA". Rfam says of the family: U4 small nuclear RNA (U4 snRNA) is a component of the major U2-dependent spliceosome. The structure of U4 snRNA from yeast and human has been reported. Lineage: Eukaryota; Fungi; Basidiobolomycota; Basidiobolomycetes; Basidiobolales; Basidiobolaceae. The record is from Rfam.